GAUGAACGCUGGCGGCGUGCCUAACACAUGCAAGUCGAACGAAGCACAUACGACGGAACUCUUCGGAGGGAAGAUGUAUGUGACUGAGUGGCGGACGGGUGAGUAACGCGUGGGUAACCUGCCCUAUACAGGGGGACAACAGUUGGAAACGACUGCUAAUACCGCAUAAGCGCACAGUACCGCAUGGUACAGAGCGAAAAAACUCCGGUGGUAUAGGAUGGGCCCGCGUCUGAUUAGUUAGUUGGUGAGGUAACGGCUCACCAAGACCGCGAUCGGUAGCCGGACUGAGAGGUUGAACGGCCACAUUGGGACUGAGACACGGCCCAGACUCCUACGGGAGGCAGCAGUGGGGAAUAUUGCACAAUGGGGGAAACCCUGAUGCAGCAACGCCGCGUGAAGGAAGACGGUUUUCGGAUUGUAAACUUCUGUUCUUAGUGAAGAAUAAUGACGGUAGCUAAGGAGCAAGCCACGGCUAACUACGUG
Molecule: ribosomal RNA, 483 nt
Filed under: uncultured bacterium
Lineage: Bacteria
Description: bacterial SSU rRNA
Rfam family: Bacterial small subunit ribosomal RNA
Source: RNAcentral